This is a long non-coding RNA of Oncorhynchus nerka (sockeye salmon), 2729 nucleotides long. RefSeq lists it as uncharacterized. The record is from RefSeq and is a predicted model, not a curated record. NCBI's taxonomy places the organism in Eukaryota, Metazoa, Chordata, Actinopteri, Salmoniformes, Salmonidae. The transcript has 3 exons.
UCCAGAGUCUGCCCCUAGAACUAGUUGGUCCCAAGACGAAAAGCAAAAAUGAUCCCCUGUCAGCGCAUUGAGCACGAUGUCUCUUCGACAGGAAGGCACUCCUUGUUUUUCGUGUCCUGAUCAGGGGGUAGAAUGAUGGCGCUCAGCACUAGCCCUGGAAAGACAUCUCCACCCACACACAAACACUGAGAGAAGCAGAGGGAUGUGAGUUGUUCGCAUGCACACCCAGAGAGAGAACAUGAGCCUACAACAAGUGCAGCUGAAAAUUCACUCAUCAAAACCACUGCUACAGUUGCUGGCGAUCAUGGCAAUGCAGUGGCUAGCCCAGAGUUUGGCUAGCCUAGUCUCUGUCAACGGUGAAGCCAGCAGAGCCCCCGUCCCAGUACCACCACAAGCCUCCUUGCCGCCACCCAGCUAAGCAGCAGCUGCUAACAAUGCUAAAUCACACGGGCCAGAGCCACUUACAUGCAGAGGAGCAACCCCAGAUGACCUUGGGGUUGAGAAGUUAGGUAAGUUUCCAGUAAGAUUGUAUUCAGGGAUAGAAGCUGUCUUCUGGUAAGAAUUCAGUACAAACUGUUGCAGCCUUUUGUUUCCCCCUGAUGAAAUUUCGGUCCAGCGCGUCAUCAGAUUCAACCUUUACCAUUAAAGGGUUCUGUGAUUGGAAGCAUGCUUUAGAGAGAGAUAAAGGACAGAACGAACAUGCCACCUCGGAAGAACACUUAACGUGAGGCUGUGGAGGGAGAGAAAUGCGUAAAGAGACAGGGCAGGAAAUAUCAACACUGGUUAACACGGAUCUGCUUGCACGUCAUCGAUAUUAUCUGGGCUCCAUUGUUGACAUUAUUGCAUUUCUAGCAGUUAAUCAAAUCACUCUGAGAAGAGAUCACGAUGCAUUAAAAAGCAUGACAGAGGAAGGCAGUGGGUGGUUCUUGUCAUUGUUUGAGUAUACCCUCCAAAAGGACCAAGAGUUGGCCAAGAUAGCACCAACCCUCCCAAGUGGUGCAGUGCUCUAAGGCACUGCAUCUCAGUUGCUAGCUAUGCCACUAGAGGUCCUGGUUUGAGUCCAGGCUCUGUCGCAGCUGGCCUUGACCCGGGAGACCCAUGGGGCGGCACACAAUUGGCCGGGUAAGGGCAGGGUUUGGCGGCAGGGAUGUCCUUGUCCCAUCACGCUCUAGCGACUCCUGUGAUGGGCCGGACGCAUGCACGCUGACACGGUCGCCAGGUGUUUCCUCCAUGUUAAGCUGGCAUUGUGUCAAGAAGCAGUGCGACUUGGUUGGGUCGUGUUUCGGAGGACUCAUGGCUCUCAACCUUCGCCUCUCGCGAGUCCGUAUAGGAGUUGCAGCGAUGAGACAGGACUGUAACUACCAAUUGGAAACCACAAAAUUGGGGAGAAGAAGGGGUAAAAGUUUUUUUUUUAAACAAGGUAGCACCAACCAUUCUCCAUAAUGCAACCUACACGAGCCACGGCGCCCAGAACGACUUAAUAAAACAAAUGAGCAACUUAGUAACAGAGCAUAUUGUCAGGGAACUAGACAGAACGAGGGACACAACGGGCUAUGAAAACUUUUCAAUCGUACUUUGGUUUGUAGGUGGAAACUAUGAAAUAAAAGAGCCUUCUGACCAUAGCCACUGCAGAUGCAGGUGAUGCCAACACUCUCACAGAAACUGUUACCUCAGAAAUGACCAAGGCUGGACUGAGAACUGACAAAAUCCUCCGUCAAGUCUACAACAGAGCCUCUGUGAUGUCGGGGAAGCAAGGGGGAGUGCAGAAACUUCUACAGGAGAAAUUGGGUUGAGACAUACCGUAUGUUCAUUGCUUUAACCACCAUUUUCAUCUGGUGGUGGUCCAUGCCAUGUCCUCUGAGGAGGACAUCAGAGAUUUUUUAAAACAUUUGUAACCUUUACAAAUACUUAAAGCCCACUGUUGGAGUUCAUUACAAGGGGGAAACACAAAUGCCUGCUGAACCAGCCACUGUACAAGUUAUCCUUAAGUCCUCCAAGGAUAUAUCCCAAUUCUCUGCCUCUAACCCUAUUACAGGGGCUAAGUCACUGGCUUACUGGGGCUCUCUCAUGCCGUCCCUGGAGGGGGUGCGUCACCUGAGUGGGUUGAUUCACUGUUGUGGUCAUCCUGUCUGGGUUGGCGGCCCCCCCCUUGGGUUGUGCCGUGGCGGAGAUCUUUGUGGGCUAUACUCAGCCUUGUCUCAGGAUGGUAAGUUGGUGGUUGAAGAUAUCCCUCUAGUGGUGUGGGGGCUGUGCUUUGGCAAAGUGAGUGGGGUUAUAUCCUUCCUGUUUGGCCCUGUCCGGGGGUGUCCUCGGAUGGGGCCACAGUGUCUCCUGACCCCUCCUGUCUCAGCCUCCAGUAUUUAUGCUGCAGUAGUUUAUGUGUCGGGGGGCUAGGGUCAGUUUGUUAUAUCUGGAGUACUUCUCCUGUCCUAUUCGCUGUCCUGUGUGAAUCUAAGUGUGCGUUCUCUAAUUUUCUGCUUCUCUCUUUCUUUCUCUCUCUCGGAGAACCUGAGCCCUAGGACCAUGCCCCAGGACUACCUGACAUGAUGACUCCUUGCUGUCCCCAGUCCACCUAGCCAUGCUGCUGCUCCAGUUUCAACUGUUCUGCCUUACUAUUAUUCGACCAUGCUGGUCAUUUAUGAACAUUUGAACAUCUUGGCCAUGUUCUGUUAUAAUCUCCACCCGGCACAGCCAGAAGAGGACUGGCCACUCCACAUAUGCUCUCUCUA